RNAcentral lists this ribosomal RNA (202 nucleotides) under uncultured bacterium. RNAcentral's name for it is "partial 16S ribosomal RNA". It matches the Rfam family "Bacterial small subunit ribosomal RNA", at positions 326 to 525 of the family's 1533-position model. The record is from RNAcentral.
GAAUUCGCCCUUCCUACGGGAGGCAGCAGUAAGGAAUAUUGGGCAAUGGGCGCGAGCCUGACCCAGCCAUGCCGCGUGCAGGAAGACGGCCCUAUGGGUUGUAAACUGCUUUUAUACGGGAAUAAUUGUGGGUAUGUAUAUCCACUUGCAAGUACUGUAUGAAUAAGCAUCGGCUAACUCCGUGCCAGCAGCCGCGGUAAUA